GAUGAGCGCUGGCGGCGUGCCUAAUACAUGCAAGUCGAGCGAACGGACGAGAAGCUUGCUUCUCUGAUGUUAGCGGCGGACGGGUGAGUAACACGUGGAUAACCUACCUAUAAGACUGGGAUAACUUCGGGAAACCGGAGCUAAUACCGGAUAAUAUUUUGAACCGCAUGGUUCAAAAGUGAAAGACGGUCUUGCUGUCACUUAUAGAUGGAUCCGCGCUGCAUUAGCUAGUUGGUAAGGUAACGGCUUACCAAGGCAACGAUGCAUAGCCGACCUGAGAGCGUGAUCGGCCACACUGGAACUGAGACACGGUCCAGACUCCUACGGGAGGCAGCAGUAGGGAAUCUUCCGCAAUGGGCGAAAGCCUGACGGAGCAACGCCGCGUGAGUGAUGAAGGUCUUCGGAUCGUAAAACUCUGUUAUUAGGGAAGAACAUAUGUGUAAGUAACUGUGCACAUCUUGACGGUACCUAAUCAGAAAGCCACGGCUAACUACGUG
Molecule: ribosomal RNA, 497 nt
Filed under: uncultured bacterium
Lineage: Bacteria
Description: partial 16S ribosomal RNA
Rfam family: Bacterial small subunit ribosomal RNA
Source: RNAcentral